Molecule: ribosomal RNA, 1733 nt
Filed under: Howardula sp. SP-A
Lineage: Eukaryota; Metazoa; Nematoda; Chromadorea; Rhabditida; Allantonematidae
Description: SSU rRNA
Rfam family: Eukaryotic small subunit ribosomal RNA
Source: RNAcentral
GAAACCGCGAACGGCUCAUUAAAUCAGCUAUUAUCUACUUGAUCUUGACGUAUCUUACUUGGAUAACUGUGGUAAUUCUAGAGCUAAUACAUGCACCAAAGCUCUGACCUUGCGGAAAGAGUGCAUUUAUUAGAGCAAAACCAAGCGACUUCGGUCGUUUAAUGCUGACUCAGAAUAACUCAGCUGAUCGUACGGUCUUUGAACCGGCGACGUGUCUUUUGAGUAUCUGCCUUAUCAAUUUUCGAUGGUAGUGUAUCUGACUACCAUGGUGUUGACGGGUAACGGAGAAUAAGGGUUCGACUCCGGAGAAGGGGCCUGAGAAAUGGCCACUACGUCUAAGGAUGGCAGCAGGCGCGCAAAUUACCCACUCUCAGUACGAGGAGGUAGUGACGAGAAAUAACGAGACCGUUCUCUUAGAGGCCGGUUAUCGGAAUGGGUACAAUUUAAACCCUUUAACGAGUAUCUAUGAGAGGGCAAGUCUGGUGCCAGCAGCCGCGGUAAUUCCAGCUCUCAAAAUGCAUAGAACCAUUGCUGCGGUUAAAAAGCUCGUAGUUGAAUCUUUGCCAGAGACUUGGUCGACUCCUUUGAGCGCGUACUAAGUUCUUUGGCUUUUACCGUCGGUUUUCUUGUUGUCGCCUUUAUUGGUGGUGGCAAGUGGCUGACAAUUUUACUUUGAACAAAUCAGAGUGCUCAACACAGGCGUUUUGCUUGUAUGCUUUUGCAUGGAAUAAUAGAAUAUGACUAUGGUCUAGUUUUAUUGGUUUUAUAGAUCGUUGUAAUGAUUAAAAGAGACAAACGGGGGCAUUCGUAUUGUUGCGUGAGAGGUGAAAUUCUUGGACCGCAGCAAGACGACCUACAGCGAAAGCAUUUGCCAAGCUUGUCUUCAUUAAUCAAGAACGAAAGUCAGAGGAUCGAAGGUGAUCAGAUACCGCCCUAGUUCUGACCGUAAACGAUGCCAACUAGCGAUUCGCCGACGGAUUAUUUGCCUUGGCGAGGAGCUUCCCGGAAACGAAAGUCUUCCGGUUCCGGGGGAAGUAUGGUUGCAAAGCUGAAACUUAAAGGAAUUGACGGAAGGGCACCACCAGGAGUGGAGCCUGCGGCUUAAUUUGACUCAACACGGGAAAACUCACCCGGCCAGGACACUAUAAGGAUUGACAGAUUGAUAGCUCUUUCAUGAUUUGGUGGAUGGUGGUGCAUGGCCGUUCUUAGUUCGUGGAGUGAUUUGUCUGGUUUAUUCCGAUAACGAGCGAGACUCUAGCCUACUAAAUAGUUUACUCAUUUAUUUUUUGUGUAGUAAUACUUCCUAGAGGAAUUUUCGGUGUUUAACCGCAUGAAAUUGAGCAAUAACAGGUCUGUGAUGCCCUUAGAUGUCUGGGGCUGCACGCGCGCUACACUGGUAAAGUCAGCGUGCUUUUUCCUGUUUCGAAAGAGAUUGGGUAAACCAAUGAAAGUUUGCCGUGAUUGGGAUCGGAAAUUGCAAUUAUUUUCUGUGAACGAGGAAUUCCAAGUAAGUGUGAGUCAUCAACUCGCGCUGAUUACGUCCCUGCCCUUUGUACACACCGCCCGUCGCUGCCCGGGACUGAGCCAUUUCGAGAAAUUUGGGGAUUGCUGAUUAAAUAAUCAUUUAUUUGGUUGUUUUUUUGGUGAAAACCAGCUUAAUCGUAGUGGCUUGAACCGGGCAAAAGUCGUAACAAGGUGGCUGUAGGUGAACCUGCUGCCGGAUCAUUAUCGAU